This 258-nucleotide unclassified non-coding RNA is filed under the name Hevea brasiliensis (rubber tree). Lineage: Eukaryota; Viridiplantae; Streptophyta; Magnoliopsida; Malpighiales; Euphorbiaceae. The record is from RNAcentral.
GACAUGGACCGCUUUGGAGAUAUUGCUAGUCUGGAUGAUAAUGCCGAACAGUUUCUUCCACAUGAUGGAGUAAAUGGAAGCAAUUUAUAUGGAACGCUAAAGCAUAGCUCCACUGAGCACCAAAAAGCAUCUACUAAAGGUUUUACUUUUGAUGAGGUUGGUUGCAUACGGACAAGAAAUAGCAAGGUCACUUGCUGUCAUUUUUCUUCAGAUGGAAAGUUGCUAGCCAGUGCCGGGCAUGACAAGAAGGUUGUCCUG